RNAcentral lists this ribosomal RNA (461 nucleotides) under Dematochroma sp. 'Thasycles' JGZ05-2021. RNAcentral describes it as "partial 12S ribosomal RNA". The record is from RNAcentral. Lineage: Eukaryota; Metazoa; Arthropoda; Insecta; Coleoptera; Chrysomelidae.
UGCGGUUAAACAAAUAAUACAACUAUUUUUUUUCGGUUUUUGAUUCUUAGUUAAUAAUAAGUAAAUUUUAUUUAAUAAAAUAUUGGGUGAAAUCCUAUUUUAUUUUUAUAUAAAUUUUUGAUUAUGAGGUUAAGAAACCUAGGUUAAAAACUGGGAUUAGAUACCCCAUUAUUCUAGAUGUUGAUAUUUAGACCUGAUAAAUAUAAGUUAUGCUCUUUAAAAUCAAAAAAUUUGGCGGUUUUUUAUUCCAAUCAGGGGAAUCUGUCCUGUAAUCGAUAAUCCACGAUUAAUAAAACUUUUAUUAUGCUUGUAUAUCGUCGUUGUUAAUUAUUUUCGGAAAUAUAUAAUUUUAAUAUAAUAUUAUAUUAAAUAUCAGAUCAAGGCGCUUCUUAUAAAAGUAGAGAUGGAUUACAAUAAUUUUAUUUUAGGAUAAUUUUUUUCAUUAUUAUUUAUAAUUUGGA